Molecule: long non-coding RNA, 1007 nt
Organism: Haplochromis burtoni (Burton's mouthbrooder)
Lineage: Eukaryota; Metazoa; Chordata; Actinopteri; Cichliformes; Cichlidae
Exons: 2
Source: RefSeq, a predicted model, not a curated record
UGGGUAAUCAGGCUGAGGAUUUAAGCUCCACUCAGACUCUCCUUUGCUGCCAGUUUGUCAAUGACCUCAUGUUGGUAUUGGUGCUAAGGUUUUGCCCCAUGCUCUUGCCACUUGUUUUGUUGCCUACUUUGGUUUCCUGUGCUACAGUUUUCCUGGACCUUCUUUGCCAUUGCCUUUAACCUCAGCUCUCCUUGGAUUAUCCUCGCAUUCUGGAAAAAUACAAAGAACCUCACCUGCCUGCCCUCCAGCCACCACUCACCACCUCGGCACUCAGGUCAGCCAGCCUUUGUCAGUACUCGCCUGGAUUCUCUUUGCCUCUCCCUCAAAGCCAAGCUCACCCUGACUAUCAAUGCACCCGCUCCAUCCCCGUCGCAACCUGCCAAUUCCCCCUUCACCCCCACUGACCCACGGCCACAUCAUUAGUAACACUUUGCCACAAAUUCACCUGUUGACUUCAUAAUAAAACACUGUAAAAACGUUUGAGUCCAGUUUAGCUAUUGGCCUGUGUACUUCAAGCACAUGCUGGUUGUUUGAUCUACAAUCAAUUGUGGUGAUGUACAGAAGCAAAACUACAGCAAUGGUGUCUUUGUCCCAAACAAUACACAUGUACAUGUUAUCUACCUUCAUUAUUAGGCCACAUGGACAUAUUGUGAGUCAAAGGAUUUUGUGUCACUAUUCGUGUUUGAAGAAGGGACCCAUCAGCCUUUUGUUCCUCAUUUUCUGUUUCACCACCCACCUGUAUCAGUAAAAAGGAAUCAUUUUUAAAAAUUAGGCCACGUGACAUAUUUUAGAUGUAAUAAAACAACCAAGAUUAGACCGUUAAGACCAAUUUACCUGUUCAUUCACUUUCACCAUAUCUUUGCUGACUUCAUUUGAUAGCCUCAUCAUAUUAUCAGUGGAAUCUGAUGGUGUGAAGUCUGACAUGGAAUUCAAAGACAGUGCAGACAAAAUCCAGAACAGUGAGGAGAUAAUCUCAGCUUUAUCACCGUACACAUUAGUUAAAUACU